GAUGAAGAACGUAGCGAAAUGCGAUAAGUAAUGUGAAUUGCAGAAUUCAGUGAAUCAUCGAAUCUUUGAACGCACAUUGCGCCCUCUGGCAUUCCGGGGGGCAUGCCUGUUCGAGCGUCAUUAUAACCACUCAAGCUCUCGCUUGGUAUUGGGGUUCGCGGUUCCGCGGCCCCUAAAAUCAGUGGCGGUGCCUGUCGGCUCUACGCGUAGUAAUACUCCUCGCGAUUGAGUCCGGUAGGUCUACUUGCCAGCAACCCCCAAUUUUUACAGGUUGACCUCGGAUCAGGUAGGGAUACCCGCUGAACUUAAGCAUAUCAAUAAGCGGAGGA
RNAcentral lists this unclassified non-coding RNA (329 nucleotides) under soil metagenome. Its description in RNAcentral is "partial contains 5.8S ribosomal RNA, internal transcribed spacer 2, and large subunit ribosomal RNA". The stretch from base 1 to 120 matches the Rfam family "5.8S ribosomal RNA", at positions 35 to 154 of the family's 154-position model. The record is from RNAcentral.